Molecule: long non-coding RNA, 1365 nt
Organism: Sphaerodactylus townsendi
Lineage: Eukaryota; Metazoa; Chordata; Lepidosauria; Squamata; Sphaerodactylidae
Exons: 3
Source: RefSeq, a predicted model, not a curated record
UGUGCAUUUGAUGUUUGCUGAGGUUUGGAACCCAACUGGGACUUCAACCAUGAGGAGGUUUUUUCUCCUUUGCAUCUUUGCUGCCUCUUUAGUACUCAUGGCCACACCAGGAUUUGCUAAAAUCCAGAAGCCACAAACAUUUGCAGAAUGUGAGAAGUUGGGAGCUACAUGCAGUUUUUUCACAUGCUUAUCACCUAAGGUUCCCUUUGGUAGUUGUAACUUUUGGCGUCCCUGCUGCAUCCGAUUCUAGGAAACCAUGAAGUACAGCUUAUCUGGUUGUGGUGGGUUUUCUGGGCUGUGUGGCCAUGGUCUGGUGGAUCUUGUUCCUAACGUUUCGCCUGCAUCUGUGGCUGGAAUCUUCAGCUUGUCUAUUUAAAAAUGCCUGGAAGACAGCAUCUAACUUCUGAAAUUUCUAGAACACCCUUUGGGAUGAAACUUCCAUUCUCUAAUGUGCCAGUGGAAUAAGAUACCCAUGAAGAUUCUGAAAACCACUUCUAGUUUAAUAUAUUAGUGUGCGUAAUUUGCUUGACCAGUCACUUUUGAAAAUGUCAGGCCUGCUGGAAUGAGUUCCAUGCUGAGAUUACUUUGUGCAAAACAACAAGCAUGUAAUAGACUCAAUCCUCAUGUAGAUAUCACAUGUAAUGAAUGCAUGAGCUUUUUCAUCAUGCCUCCAUGUGAUAGAAGUUGCCACCUUCCAUGGCUUCUACAGCAUAUGCACAUGGUAGAUACAUGUACCUUCAUCAGAUGGUAGAAGCUAUAUGAAGUAUUUGCUCAGUUUCCAACCUGCAAUAACUCCUAGGCAGGAAAUUACUCUUCCAUGAAGUGGCCCUGACAAUGCUCAGUUCUUACAUAAGUACGGGAACAUAUUCAUUGAACAUGCUGCAAUUCAAGUAUAAUUUCCUGGCAAACAGAUCACUGUGGAAAACUUGAGGAGUCCACUAGCAUACUUUCCCAUGCCUAGCAUCUAGCUUAGAUGUGUCAGAUUAUCUUUUGCACCCUUUUUUGAUGGGUUCAAAAUUCAUAAUGCCAUUUAUGACUUCAAACAGAGCUUUCCUCCUAUGAAAAUGGGAUGUGGUUUUCCUUGGGAGACAGAAAUGGUAGAAAUAGCUCUUACAACACAUGUUACCCAAGAAAGCUGUGGUUUUGCUGUCUGACUGACAGGAGCACAGCACAUUGGCAAAUAGAUUGGCAAUAUUCCUACAGCUCAUAAAAACUUGAAUAUUGCUUUGCCUCACACCAUCAACAAUCUCCAGUUAAACUAGAUGGUUCACUAACAUAGAUUACUAUUUUGUCUGCUUACUUUUGUAUAUGAAUUAAUAAUCCAUUUUGUUUUUCUAAUAAACAUCUUCUUUGCUUACCACUAUA